This is an RNA transcript of Galeopterus variegatus (Sunda flying lemur), 493 nucleotides long. It is a transcript of the gene named UPF0235 protein C15orf40 homolog pseudogene, with no coding region annotated. Lineage: Eukaryota; Metazoa; Chordata; Mammalia; Dermoptera; Cynocephalidae. The transcript has a single exon. The record is from RefSeq and is a predicted model, not a curated record.
GCAGGGGGCGAUGCUGCAGCGCGGCUGUGGGCUGAGACAGCUCCGGGGAGGACCCGGCGCUCGGGCCUCCGCUCGGCUCCUUUCUGGCCCCGAGAUGCCUAAAAAAGUUGGUGCGACGAAGAAGGGUAAAAGCCAGAGCAGAGAACCGGAGAGACCACUUCCUGCCUUAGGUCCUGUGACAGUGAUCCUAAAGGCUGUGUCGUCAUAGCCAUCCAUGCCAAACCUGGCUCCAAACAAAAUGCUGUAACAGAUUUGACAACUGAAGCCGUAAAUGUAGCUAUUGCAGCACCUCCAUUAGAGGGAGAGGCUAAUGCUGAGCUCUGUCGCUACCUUUCCAAGGUCUUAGAACUCAAAAAGAGUGAUGUGGUUUUGGAUAAGGGUGGUAAAUCUCGUGAAAAGGUUGUGAAGCUCUUGGCCUCUGCAACUCCAGAAGAGGUCUUGGAGAAGUUAAAAAAGGAAGCUGAAAAAAAAUAAAAACAAAACAUGAAAAAUA